UUGUGGGUGGUAGCUGGUAUGUUGGUGGAAACUCCAUGCUUCCAUGGAACCAGCUGUAGAGGAGUGGUGAUGCAAUGAGCAUCCUGGAAGUUUAGUUGUCAUUUGUCACCUUUUGGAUAAUGGAGUAGAUUUCUGAAGCUAUUUCUCCUUGUUUGGUGUUCUGCCUGCAAUUUGGACAAGUGGACUUCAGAUUAUGUCUUCGUAGACUGAAAGGCUUGGGACUACUUUGGUUUUCUGGGGGUCCACUUCAGACCCUAGUUGCCUUGGUUUUUCCCAUACCUGGAGAUGUCACCAGUGAAGCCUGGGAAACAGCAAAGAGGGCAGCCUGAUCGUUCAUCUGGAAACUUUGUUCCAGCAUAAGAAGCCUCUCACCCUAAACAUCACAGCUGGGAAUAUGCUGGACCACAACUAAAGCCAGCAUGGCACUGACUCUGACCAAAGGUGAGACCCAGUACUCAUCAAGGAUUAGCUUCCAGGGGUCCUAGCAAGGUGCAUCACAGUGUCAAGAAUGCACUGCAUUCAGAGAAGUUCAAACUAUGGAUUCCCACCAGAGAAGCCUGAAGUGCUCUGAAGGCUGCCAACAAAAUGUCAAGUGAGUCCACUGACAAAAAGGAAGAGAAACCUUGGAAAAACAUUAUUGCUUAUGUUCCAUCUGAAUCUGAGCAGCUGACCUGAGGAAGGAGCAAUCUUAUUCAAGGGCUUACCCUAUUCCUCAUAUACUCUUGGAAGCAGCUCUAUCACCUUAUUGGAAUGACUUAUGGUGGAAAGCAUGCUCAGACCUGUCAUUUCAAGCUUCUCCUCCCUUUAUGUGCUCUAAUAUCUCAUUGGCCAAAGCAAUAACAUCAAAUUGAAGGGCAAGGAACUUCUCAAAAGGAGGUAGGAAUGAAAAUUAGCCAAACAGAUAUCUUACCUACUAUAGUGGGUAAACUAGAACAUUUCAUUAGAAGAAAGGGCAGUGUACUCAUUGUCAGAUUCUUAUAACAAAAAUGAUCAUGUACUAUAUAAAAUACAAAAAUAUCCAAAUUGACUUAUCAGCUAAAGUGCUGAUUGCAAAUUGCACCCCCAUCAAUGUGAUACAGACUUAGUUGAACAUAGUGGGACUAACAACUAAAUUCGAGCCAUCCAAACAUGGUAAUGCCAUAAGCCUGUACUGGUAUCACACAGAGAAUUUCUUUUUAAAUGACUGUCAGCUGUCACAAUUUUGUAGGUAAACAGAGUUGUCAUAACAUAUUCUUACAAAACUAAGGUUAUACCCAUGACAACAAAAUCUAUGAUGAGACAGACAAUUUGAAGCAGACAGAAGUAGGGUGCUAUGGCCUGUGGUCCAAAUCUGGCCUACACCUAAUUUUUGCAGAUAAAGUUUUAUUGGAACACGGUCAUGCGCAUACCUUUAUGUGUAGUCUGUAGUGGCUUUUGUGCGGCAAUUGCAGAGAUUAUAGGUCUUACAAAGCCUAAAAUGUUUGUUUUCUGGCCUUUUACAGAAAAUACUUACUGAUUGCCAAUCUAGAAGAACUCCACAGUUAUGAUUUUUGCCUACUUUUGAGCUGCCUCUGAAUAGAACACAGUCUAUAAAACCAGCGAGGUGAAUAGGGUGGCAUAGCAAGGUUUCCUAACCCCCAGCCCAUGAGCCUUCACUGAGGUGUGGAGUUGGAGUCUGCAGAAAGAUUUCUAACGGAAACCCCUGCUAGGGGACCUGCUGGUAGCUUCUCGCUCCCUGUACCUUCUUAGGUUUUGUAGAAAAAAAGUUUCCUGAAGGGAAAAAUGUUCUUGAUACUACUAGCUCUCAAGGAUUAGAAAGGUUUACCUCUGUCACACAUCACAAGCUGAAAACAAGGGAUGCUUAUUUGAAAAUGUGAAAACUCAAUUUGCAGAAGUAGGGACAGGCACAUGCAAUGUUAGGCUGUUCUCUCCCCACUGACAUUGCCAGGAUUAAAAAUAGCCGUUCUGUUUGUCCUUCAGCCCUGUAUUGAACUGGAGCCUCCAAGUUGCAUUCUCCUUAGCUUCAUGCUUAAUGAAGCAUAAUUUGUAUUAAUAGCAGCUAUUAAAUCUAGAGUGCUUAAUAGGAAUUUAGAGCGGAGGGCCUGAGUCACCAAGCUCCUCAAACAUGGUCCCCAGAGAGCUGAGCUCAGGCCUGAACACCAGCAGCAAUGAAUUUUGGGCUUGGUAAGGUGAAGCAGCUGUGUUUAACAGGAGGAGAAAGGGGAAAAAGAAAUGAAGAAACAGGACUCAACACCUCCAAUUCAGCCUGGGGGUUUCUCAAGUUCCAGGUUCUAUAAUACAAGGGGGUCCCUUAUUCGUAUUAUGUCUGCAUUCCGGAAAAGAUUGCUGGGUGCUGGAGAACACAUGGGCUUGACAAUUUUACACACUUGCAUUCAGAUUUAGUGCUGCUGUGUGACCUGGCUUUGGUCUCUUAACCUCUCUGAGCCUCAGUUUUUUUCUUAUCUGAGAAACAAAGAUAAUCAAGUGGUGAUAACAUAAUGGGAGUUACUGUGAAGAUUAAUGGGGGAAAGAUGCAUAGCAAUGAAGAUUGGAUGUUGGGUCUGCAUCUCUCUGUUUUCCCGUCCUUCUCUAAACCCAAUUCUAUUUUAAAUACAAUCUGGAAGGGUUUUCAUAGAAAAUUAUUUUGGGAAGCCAAAUAGCUUCCUUUUAGUCCUGCAUUAGCAAAAAAUGUCUCUGACUUGCUCAAGCUUCCCUUUAAACAUUGUGUUGUUUGUGAUUUGCUUUGUUGUAAAUCCCCUGUUUAAAUGUCUGUCUCCAUCCCGACCCCAUGAGCUCCUUAAUGCUGUGAGAAGAAAAUGUGUUUUUCUCACCUUUCACUCCCAUUGCCUAGGACAGGGUCUGGCACCAGGCAGGUGUGCAGUCAGUUGUGGUUUCUGUCAUCACUGCUAUUUUACAAUUAAGCAAACAGUGUUAAAUACAGGGAGUUUUGUCUGUUUGGGUAUUACCAACUGAUUGCCCUUGUUGAGAGGAUUGACUAGAAAAAUAAAGCUCUUGGGCAGGGCUUGUGCCCUAUAGUUGUUUUUACUAGAAGUAUUCUAUAGUAUUUAUUAGAGCAAGAAAAACUGAGUCUCCUUCAGUGCACAGUCGGUAGCUUAUUCUGACAGUUGCACAUUCAGCAUGAAUGUCCUUUUCUGCACUGGGCUGUGGGUGGGUCCCCAUGGUAGAAGCCUGGCUCCACACAUGGCUUCUGCUCAGCACUUGGGUAGAAGGAGACAGCAGCAGAAUGUGAGCCUUCAAAGAAAUUAUCAAGUUGGGCAGCUUGCCUUUGGAAGGGAGUCCAUUUGUGGCAAGCCAUUACAAUGUCCUAGGUCCAUUUAAAUAUGCCCAGGAAAAAAAAAAUAACUUCAACCAUCCUCUAACAUCCUGAAGCAGGAGAAUUAACAGCCUUGCCUUGAACUCAGGCAGCCAACAGGAGAAUACACACAGUGAAGGCCUGGCUAUGCUAAAUCAAUGUGAGCUGAGCAUCCUCACUGCACGUUACCUGUGCAAAGAAUCAGCCAUGACAGAGGAUGAGAGAAUUUUCCAUUGCUUUAGAGAAUGGUGAGAUGCUUUCCAUUUCAUGUGCAAAUCAACAAGCCUGUAGACUGUCCAUAGGGCAGGAACGUGCAACAUAGGAUGUGAUUUCAGGUGAUCAAUCACUUCUAUGUUGGCUUAACUACAAUGGCCCAGUUACAGAGGGACUCCUUGCUGGGCCAUGUGCAUCAAAAACAAAGUUUCUAUGAUUUCUUACAAAAUUAAACAUACUUUUACUGUAUUAUCUCCCAGUCAUGCUCCUUGGUAUUUACCCAAAGGAAUUGUAAACUUACGUCCACACAAAAACCUGCACAUAGAUCUUUAUAGUAGCUUUAUUCAUAGUUGCCAAAACUUGGAAGCAACCAAGAUUUCCUUCGGUAGGUGAGUGGAUAAAUAGACUGUGGUACAUCCAGAUGAUGGAAUAUUAUUCAGAACUAAAAAUUAAUGUACUGUUAAGCCAUGAAAAGACAUGGAAGAAACUUUAAUGUAUAUUACUAAGUGAA
This 4016-nucleotide long non-coding RNA is filed under the name Homo sapiens (human). Its description in RNAcentral is "HSALNT0314986". Lineage: Eukaryota; Metazoa; Chordata; Mammalia; Primates; Hominidae. The record is from RNAcentral.